UACAGAGGUCCCAAGCGUUGUUCGGAUUCACUGGGCAUAAAGGGUGCGUAGGCGGUCGGGUAAGUCUGAUGUGAAAUCUCACAGCUUAACUGUGAAACUGCAUUGGAUACUAUCCGGCUAGAGGAAUGGAGGGGAGACUGGAAUACUUGGUGUAGCAGUGAAAUGCGUAGAGAUGCGGAGGAACACCGAUGGCGAAGGCAGCCCCCUGGGCUAACACUGACGCUCAGGCACGAAAGCGUGGGGAGCAAACAGG
RNAcentral lists this ribosomal RNA (253 nucleotides) under uncultured bacterium. Its description in RNAcentral is "partial 16S ribosomal RNA". It matches the Rfam family "Bacterial small subunit ribosomal RNA", at positions 524 to 776 of the family's 1533-position model. The record is from RNAcentral.